Molecule: ribosomal RNA, 845 nt
Filed under: uncultured bacterium
Lineage: Bacteria
Description: bacterial SSU rRNA
Rfam family: Bacterial small subunit ribosomal RNA
Source: RNAcentral
AACGAACGCUGGCGGCGUGCCUAACACAUGCAAGUCGAGCGAGAAAGCCCGCAAGGGUGAGUACAGCGGCGCACGGGUGCGUAACACGUGGGUAAUCUGCCCUGGAGCCCGGAAUAACCUCCCGAAAGGGAAGCUAAUGCCGGAUGAGCCCACGGGGUCUUCGGACCCUGAGGGAAAAGGUGGCCUCUGUAUACAAGCUAUCACUUCAGGAUGAGCCCGCGGCCCAUCAGCUAGUUGGCGGGGUAAUGGCCCACCAAGGCUACGACGGGUAGCUGGUCUGAGAGGACGAUCAGCCACACUGGAACUGAGACACGGUCCAGACUCCUACGGGAGGCAGCAGUGGGGAAUCUUGCGCAAUGGGCGAAAGCCUGACGCAGCAACGCCGCGUGUGUGAUGAAGGUCUUCGGAUCGUAAAGCACUGUCGCGAGGGACGAAUAAGGGCCGGGUGAACAAUCCGGUUCGAUGACGGUACCUCGAGAGGAAGCACCGGCUAACUCUGUGCCAGCAGCCGCGGUAAUACGGAGGGUGCUAGCGUUGUUCGGAAUUAUUGGGCGUAAAGCGCGUGUAGGCGGCCUAGUAAGUUGGGUGUGAAAGCCCUCGGCUUAACCGAGGAAGUGCGCCCAAAACUGCAUGGCUUGAGUGCCGGAGAGGGUGGCGGAAUUCCCGGUGUAGAGGUGAAAUUCGUAGAUAUCGGGAGGAACACCAGUGGCGAAGGCGGCCACCUGGACGGCAACUGACGCUGAGACGCGAAAGCGUGGGGAGCAAACAGGAUUAGAUACCCUGGUAGUCCACGCCGUAAACGAUGAGCGCUAGGUGUUGUGGGUGUUGACCCCCGCAGUGCCGAA